RNAcentral lists this long non-coding RNA (303 nucleotides) under Rattus norvegicus (Norway rat). Its description in RNAcentral is "long non-coding RNA NONRATT032149". Lineage: Eukaryota; Metazoa; Chordata; Mammalia; Rodentia; Muridae. The record is from RNAcentral.
GUCAAAUGAAAAAGCUCCAUGUGUCUGAUCUGCCCACUGAAGAGCAGGAGCCUCCACCUGAUGUUCUAAUCACAGAGCCAAAUUUCCUACCACCACCAAUUCCUAUUUCCUUGGACCGAAUGCAAAAGUCUGAAGCAACAACUAAACCAGGGUCGAUGAUCAGAUGGUAAGAGUGGAAAUGUCGAUGUUUUGGAUGGAAAGAAGAUGUGCUUACUUCAUUCUUACUAGUGCUCUUGACCCUCAGAGGUUAACAUGUUCUGGUUUGUGCUAUAUUUUGAAGAGAUUAAAACAUUUAAGAAACAC